RNAcentral lists this ribosomal RNA (465 nucleotides) under uncultured bacterium. Its description in RNAcentral is "partial 16S ribosomal RNA". It matches the Rfam family "Bacterial small subunit ribosomal RNA", at positions 28 to 507 of the family's 1533-position model. The record is from RNAcentral.
GACGAACGCUGGCGGCGUGCUUAACACAUGCAAGUCGUACGGUAAGGCCCUUUCGGGGGUCCACGAGUGGCGAACGGGUGAGUAACACGUGAGUAACCUGCCCACAACUUUGGGAUAACGCUAGGAAACUGGUGCUAAUACUGGAUAUGUGCCCCUGCUGCAUGGUGGGGGUUGGAAAGCUCCGGCGGUUGUGGAUGGACUCGCGGCCUAUCAGCUUGUUGGUGGGGUAGUGGCCUACCAAGGCGGCGACGGGUAGCCGGCCCGAGAGGGUGACCGGCCACAUUGGGACUGAGAUACGGCCCAGACUCCUACGGGAGGCAGCAGUGGGGAAUAUUGCACAAUGGGCGCAAGCCUGAUGCAGCAACGCCGCGUGCGGGAUGACGGCCUUCGGGUUGUAAACCGCUUUCAGCAGGGACGAAGCUUUUUGUGACGGUACCUGCAGAAGAAGCACCGGCUAACUACGUG